CAUCAGUUUUGCAUUGUUUAUAUCCAACAUUUGACUGUCCGUCUUAUUUGAAAAUUUUUUAUGAUUAGUUAUUUUUUGUUAUUAGAUGAUAAAAUAUGAAUAAUACUAGUAUUAUGUGUGACUAUUUUUUUAUUUUUUUCAUAAUUUUUUUAAACAAGACGGACAGUCUAAUAUUGGACACGGAAACCCAUAAGUGCACUUACA
Molecule: non-coding RNA, 204 nt
Organism: Oryza nivara
Lineage: Eukaryota; Viridiplantae; Streptophyta; Magnoliopsida; Poales; Poaceae
Source: Rfam